This 872-nucleotide ribosomal RNA is filed under the name Phylloporia yuchengii. RNAcentral's name for it is "LSU rRNA". It matches the Rfam family "Eukaryotic large subunit ribosomal RNA", at positions 66 to 915 of the family's 3401-position model. Lineage: Eukaryota; Fungi; Basidiomycota; Agaricomycetes; Hymenochaetales; Hymenochaetaceae. The record is from RNAcentral.
UAACAAGGAUUCCCCUAGUAACUGCGAGUGAAGCGGGAAGAGCUCAAAUUUGUAAUCUGGCGGUCUCUGGCCGUCCGAGUUGUAAUCUGUAGAGGCGUCGUCCGCGUCGGCCCGUGUACAAGUCUCCUGGGAUGGAGCGUCAUAGAGGGUGAGAAUCCCGUCCAUGACAUGGACCACCGAUGCUCUGUGAGGUGCCCUCGAAGAGUCGCGUUGUUUGGGAAUGCAGCGCAAAAUGGGUGGUAAAUUCCAUCUAAGGCUAAAUAUUGGCGAGAGACCGAUAGCGAACAAGUACCGUGAGGGAAAGAUGAAAAGCACUUUGAAAAGAGAGUUAAACAGUACGUGAAAUUGUUGAAAGGGAAACGCUUGAAGUCAGUCGCGUCCCGUGGCACUCAGCCUUGCUUCGGCUUGGUGUACUUGCCUUGGGAUGGGUCAACAUCAAUUUUGGCCAGUGGACAAAGGCGAGGGGAAUGUAGCGUCGUUUCGGCGACGUGUUAUAGCCUCUUGUUGAAUACACCGGCUGGGAUUGAGGACUGCAGCACGCCCUUGUGGCCGGGGGUUCGCCUCAUGUAACGUGCUUAGGAUGUUGGCAUAAUGGCUUUAAGCGACCCGUCUUGAAACACGGACCAAGGAGUCUAACAUGCUUGCGAGUGUUCGGGUGGAAAACCCUUGCGUGUAAUGAAAGUGAAAGUUGGGAGCCUUCGCAAGGGGGUGCACCGACGCCCGGCCCUGACGUACUCUGAUGGUGCUGCGGUAGAGCAAGUAUGUUGGGACCCGAAAGAUGGUGAACUAUGCCUGAAUAGGGCGAAGCCAGAGGAAACUCUUGGUGGAGGCUCGUAGCGAUUCUGACGUGCAAAUCGAUCGUCAAAUUUGGG